This 76-nucleotide transfer RNA is filed under the name Candidatus Omnitrophota bacterium. RNAcentral describes it as "tRNA-Gly". It matches the Rfam family "tRNA". Rfam says of the family: Transfer RNA (tRNA) molecules are approximately 80 nucleotides in length. Their secondary structure includes four short double-helical elements and three loops (D, anti-codon, and T loops). Further hydrogen bonds mediate the characteristic L-shaped molecular structure. tRNAs have two regions of fundamental functional importance: the anti-codon, which is responsible for specific mRNA codon recognition, and the 3' end, to which the tRNAs corresponding amino acid is attached (by aminoacyl-tRNA synthetases). tRNAs cope with the degeneracy of the genetic code in two manners: having more than one tRNA (with a specific anti-codon) for a particular amino acid; and 'wobble' base-pairing, i.e. permitting non-standard base-pairing at the 3rd anti-codon position. RNAcentral also lists the same sequence under 1 other name. Lineage: Bacteria; Pseudomonadati; Candidatus Omnitrophota. The record is from RNAcentral.
GCGGGUGUAGCUUAGUUGGUAGAGCGUCGCCUUGCCAAGGCGAAGAUCAUGGGUUCGAGACCCAUCACCCGCUCCA